GUACACUCCUGGGAAGGCAGCAGUGGGGAAUUUUGGACAAUGGGCGAAAGCCUGAUCCAGCAAUGCCGCGUGAGUGAAGAAGGCCUUCGGGUUGUAAAGCUCUUUUGUCAGGGAAGAAACGGUGAGAGCUAAUAUCUCUUGCUAAUGACGGUACCUGAAGAAUAAGCACCGGCUAACUACGUGCCAGCAGCCGCGGUAAUACGUAGGGUGCAAGCGUUAAUCGGAAUUACUGGGCGUAAAGCGUGCGCAGGCGGUUUUGUAAGUCUGAUGUGAAAUCCCCGGGCUCAACCUGGGAAUUGCAUUGGAGACUGCAAGGCUAGAAUCUGGCAGAGGGGGGUAGAAUUCCACGUGUAGCAGUGAAAUGCGUAGAUAUGUGGAGGAACACCGAUGGCGAAGGCAGCCCCCUGGGUCAAGAUUGACGCUCAUGCACGAAAGCGUGGGGAGCAAACAGGAUUAGAUACCCGGGUAGUCCCAUGA
Molecule: ribosomal RNA, 477 nt
Filed under: uncultured organism
Description: partial 16S ribosomal RNA
Rfam family: Bacterial small subunit ribosomal RNA
Source: RNAcentral